This 273-nucleotide ribosomal RNA is filed under the name uncultured Staphylococcus sp. RNAcentral describes it as "partial 16S ribosomal RNA". It matches the Rfam family "Bacterial small subunit ribosomal RNA", at positions 89 to 355 of the family's 1533-position model. Lineage: Bacteria; Bacillati; Bacillota; Bacilli; Caryophanales; Staphylococcaceae. The record is from RNAcentral.
ACGUUAGCGGUGGACGGGUGAGUAACACGUGGGUAACCUACCUAUAAGACUGGGAUAACUUCGGGAAACCGGAGCUAAUACCGUAUAAUAUUUCGAACCGCAUGGUUCGAUAGUGAAAGAUGGUUUUGCUAUCACUUAUAGAUGGACCCGCGCCGUAUUAGCUAGUUGGUAAGGUAACGGCUUACCAAGGCGACGAUACGUAGCCGACCUGAGAGGGUGAUCGGCCACACUGGAACUGAGACACGGUCCAGACUCCUACGGGAGGCAGCAGCU